AUGGUAGGAUAGAGGCCUACCAUGGUGGUAACGGGUAACGGGGUGUUAGGGCACGACACCGGAGAGGGAGCCUGAGAAACGGCUACCACAUCCAAGGAAGGCAGCAGGCGCGCAAAUUACCCAAUCCCGACACGGGGAGGUAGUGACAAUAAAUAACAAUACGGGGUUCUUUGAAUCUUGUAAUUGGAAUGAGUACAAUUUAAAUCUCUUAACGAGGAACAAUUGGAGGGCAAGUCUGGUGCCAGCAGCCGCGGUAACUCCAGCUCCAAUAGCGUAUAUUAAAGUUGUUGCAGUUAAAAAGCUCGUAGUUGAAUUUCGGGAUCAAUACGUCGGUCGUGCUUUCGGGUACGUACUGGCGUCAUUGGUUUCUCCUUUCUGACGAACCAUGAUGUCAUUAAUUUGGUGUUAUGGGGAGUUAGGACCGUUACUUUGAAAAAAUUAGAGUGUUUAAAGCAGGCAUUAGCUUGAAUACAUUAGCAUGGAAUAAUGAAAUAGGACGUUCGAUCCUAUUUUGUUGGUUUCUAGGAUCAACGUAAUGAUUAAUAGGGAUAGUUGGGGGCAUUAGUAUUCAAUUGUCAGAGGUGAAAUUCUUGGAUUUAUUGAAGACUAACUACUGCGAAAGCAUUUGCCAAGGAUGUUUUCAUUAAUCAAGAACGAAAGUUAGGGGAUCGAAGACGAUCAGAUACCGUCGUAGUCUUAACCAUAAACUAUGCCGACUAGGGAUCGGAUGAUGUUAAUUUUUUAAUGACUCAUUCGGCGCCUUACGGGAAACCAAAGUGUUUGGG
Molecule: ribosomal RNA, 785 nt
Filed under: uncultured Glomus
Lineage: Eukaryota; Fungi; Glomeromycota; Glomeromycetes; Glomerales; Glomeraceae
Description: SSU rRNA
Rfam family: Eukaryotic small subunit ribosomal RNA
Source: RNAcentral